This 394-nucleotide ribosomal RNA is filed under the name uncultured bacterium. RNAcentral describes it as "partial 16S ribosomal RNA". It matches the Rfam family "Bacterial small subunit ribosomal RNA", at positions 363 to 774 of the family's 1533-position model. The record is from RNAcentral.
AUUUGACAAUGGGCGCAAGCCUGAUCCAGCCAUGCCGCGUGAGUGAUGAAGGCCUUANNNUUGUANANCUCUUUCAACGGUGANGANNAUGACGGUAACCGUAGAAGAAGCCCCGGCUAACUUCGUGCCAGCAGCCGCGGUAAUACGACGGGGGCUAGCGUUGUUCGGAAUUACUGGGCGUAAAGCGCACGUAGGCGGAUUGGUCAGUUAGGGGUGAAAUCCCAGGGCUCAACCCUGGAACUGCCUUUAAUACUGCCGGUCUAGAGUUCGAGAGAGGUGAGUGGAAUUCCGAGUGUAGAGGUGAAAUUCGUAGAUAUUCGGAGGAACACCAGUGGCGAAGGCGGCUCACUGGCUCGAUACUGACGCUGAGGUGCGAAAGCGUGGGGAGCAAACA